RNAcentral lists this ribosomal RNA (23 nucleotides) under Paloue induta. Its description in RNAcentral is "partial 26S ribosomal RNA". Lineage: Eukaryota; Viridiplantae; Streptophyta; Magnoliopsida; Fabales; Fabaceae. The record is from RNAcentral.
GCGACCUCACCUCACGCGGGGCU